Molecule: ribosomal RNA, 647 nt
Filed under: fungal endophyte
Lineage: Eukaryota; Fungi
Description: eukaryotic LSU rRNA
Rfam family: 5.8S ribosomal RNA (bases 191-344)
Source: RNAcentral
CGGAGGGAUCAUUAAAGAGUUCUAUAACUCCCAAACCCAUGUGAACAUACCUAACGUUGCCUCGGCAGGUCGCACCUACCUUGUAGCACCCUACCCUGUAGGGCCUACCCGGGAGGUGCGGGUAAGCCUGCCGGCGGCCCACCAAACUCUGUUUGAUAUUGAAUUCUGAACCUAUAACUAAAUAAGUUAAAACUUUCAACAACGGAUCUCUUGGUUCUGGCAUCGAUGAAGAACGCAGCGAAAUGCGAUAAGUAAUGUGAAUUGCAGAAUUCAGUGAAUCAUCGAAUCUUUGAACGCAUAUUGCGCCCAUUAGUAUUCUAGUGGGCAGGACCGUUCGAGCGUCAUUUCAACCCUUAAGCCUUCGUUGCUUAGUGUUGGGAGCCUACGGCAACGUAGCUCCUCAAAGUUAGUGGCGGAGUUGGUUCACACUCUAGACGUAGUAAUUUUUUAUCUCGCCUAUUAGUUGGACUAAUCCCCUGCCGUAAAACCCCCAAUUUAUCAAGGUUGACCUCGAAUCGGUUCAGACAAACUCGCUAAAUUGAAGCAUCUUAGUCAGCGAAGGAAAAGAAACCAACAGGGAUUGCCCUAGUAACGGCGAGUGAAGCGGCAACAGCUCAAAUUUGAAAUCUGGCCCUCGGGUCCGAGUU